CUUCCUAGGCCUGCGUUCGCGUCCGCAAACUCCCGCCUCCUUGCGCUCCCCCCGCCCGGGAGCUUCACGUGCGCCUUGGCGGCCGCGGGGGCAGGUCCGGGCUGGACGCCUGGCGGAGGACGCGGGCAGGUGGCUUGUGGGAGGCUGGGGCAUAGUUGAGCUGCAAGGCGCAAACCGAUGAGGGGCGUCUGCUUUUCACCAGGGCGCCGUCGCUUUUGUCGGGAAACCGGCAGCGUAGGCGCGCAGACCGGGAAGCGGCAAGAAGAUUUGGCCACGAGCUGGGGUCUUCCUGGAACGGAGAGAAAGCACGGAACCCGCACCGGGCUUCUCUGGCAUCGGCAGUCUACGUGCUCCUCGCGCUGGCACCGAGCAGCCACUCCCCGCUGGGUUUGGCAAAGGCUGCUCUUGUAGAAUUUUAAAGGAUUUAGAGUCUCAUUAUUCCUUGAAUCAUAACUUCUGCGGCCGUAGGGAAGUGGACAGGUUGAGGUGGUCUUUCUAUUCGUCAUUCACUCUUAUUUGCAGGUUCUGUUUCAUGUACUUGGACGUCUUUUAGCCUCUCACACCUUGAAAUUCUAGUGUGAAAAAGUGACCUCUGAAGUCUCACGCACUCAACUCGUUUGACGAACUCGUUUGACGUGUUCUCUCUUGCCCUUUGUUGUCUGUUGUCUUGAGUCUCAUAGAAUAGGUUUGAACCUUUCACUGUCGGUUUUGUAGGAGUCACUGAGGAUAUUGACGAGGCAAGUGACAGGGUCGACACUCUUGUAGAGAGGCUGUAUAGCAACCAGGUGUCUGAAGGAUUAGAGGCUGGGGAAAGAGUGGGAAAGCAGUUAGUAGGCUAGGGUAUUUGUGCGUGAGGUGAGGAGACUCAGAGCUAGGGGAGACAUUAGAGCAGGGGUUGGCAAACAUUUUUUGUAAAGGGCCCGAUCAUAUUUUAAGUCUCUGCCUUAACUACUCAGCUCUACCUUGUAACGAGAAAGCAGCCAUAGACAAUACUUGAAUGAGUGUAGCUGUCUUCAGUAAAACUAUGGACAUUGAAUUUUUAAUAUAAUUUCAGGUAUGAAAUAUUCUUUUGAUUUUUAAGAAAAUCAUUGAAAUAUGUAAAUUUUUUUUUUUUUAGUUCUGGAGAGGUGCAAAAACAACUUAUAAGCCAUAUUGCUGAGCCCUGCAUUAGAGGUACCUGAGGGAGAGCGACACAAUUGGUAGUAAAUGACCAUAUACUCUAUCCUUCAAUAUGGAACACUUUUGGAAGUAAAGUAGGGCAUUAAUAAUUAUAGCCAGAGACCAGGAGUUAUAUCAGUUUUAUCCCAGGCAAACCUAAAGGAAUAGUCACCUUAAGGUUAAGGGUUAGGAGAAGUCAAAAUUGCUUUAGGACUUGGUAACAGAAAAUGGGAGGUGCCAGUGAUGGAAAUAGGAAGAUAAAGAAGAAACUGGUUUUGAGGAGAAGAUAGCUGUAGCAGUCCCAAGAGCUGUAUACAGUUGAGACAACAUUGAUAGGAAGGAAGAAAGCACCCCAGAAGCAGGCCACUCCUUAUAUCUUAUUGACCAGAACUGGGCUAUUAGCUGUCCCUAAAGCAGUAACAGACAAGGAGCAUGGGACAUCCAUGAUUGCCUAGUGUUUAUCUGGCUUUUUUAAUUCUUAUUCAGGACUGUGUUGAGCAUUGCUGGACAUUUACCAUCUCUGGUUCCUUCCAGCUAAAUGUCAGUACCACACCUCAGGCAUUGUGACACCGUAAAUCAACCGUUUUUCCCUCCCACCCCCCAGAGGUGUGGUACUGGUUGAGAACCAGUAGCUUAGACCCUCAGGAUUUACCUUGGGGCUGAAUUAGUGUGUGUAGGUUUCUUUUCCAGUUGGUUUGGAGGGAAGAGAGGAAUUGGACAGUAUUAAAGUUCUGCUGUCAAGGAAGUGGGCUGGGGAAUGUUGGGUAGCUAACCAACAUUGGCUGCCACGUGAAGUAAAAAAGUUUUCCUUUAUAUCCUUGAUAAAAUAGUGUCUCGACUUCUUCACACUUGAAGCCUUCCCAAAACCCCAGCUUUUUUGAUUCUCAUUGUAAGCCCCUUGAACUGGACUAGUUGGAAGUUCUUAUUUUCCACCCUAAGUAACAAGCUCUUGUCCCAAUAGGAUACUCUUGCUUUGAGUACUGCAAUAACUUUCCAAUUGGUGACUUGCCGUCAGUCUUUUCCUAUUUCAUUCCUACACGAAGAGACUAGAACUGUGUUCUGAUUUCCUUUGCUCAGACACCAAUCUCCAGGGGUGCUCUGUAAUUUGAAGAGGACAACUCAGAAAGCACUCAAGGGCCUCCAUAAGUCCCUGAGUGGCUUCCCUGCCUUCCCGUUCCCCAGCAAACAAUCCCUUGGAUACCCUCUAUUAAAUGAUACGUUUCCCCUUACAAUACCUAGUCCCUUGCCCCAUAUAUGCUAUGUGUAUUGCACAGUCUAGGACUUGACUCAUGCUGUUUCCUCACGGAGCAUGCCCUUCUUAUUUCUAACCAUACAAAUUCCAUGACCUAUCCAUUCUUUCAAUUCUACUUCCACCUGAGGCCUCUAUCAGCCCACAUUAACCUACCUUCUUUGAAUUUCUGUGUGUUCCUUACCUGUACCACCCAUUUUGGCCUUUUAUUUUAUGCUCUUCUUGACUAUUCUGUUAUUGAAACUGUCCUUUAGAUCCCAAGAUUUCUACUUUUUCCCUGCGGAUGCUUUUUUAUUUUUUUUAUUUUUGACUUCUUUCUACCCUCCUUUUCCUCUUACAUCCCUGCUUUGCCUAGAGGACAUCUACAAGAAUCGUCAUGUACAUUCUUUUCUCCUGUUGUUAGCUUUUUUCCCCUGACACUUCAUCUAUUUACUGAUUUACUUGUAAAUCUCUGGAAGAUAUUAGUACUAGCCACCAAAUAUUUCUAUUUCUUUUUCCACACACGUAGAUUUGGAUUUCCCUACUCCUUUUACCUCAAGAAUGGCCAAUGAAAUGUGAUUGGAAGUGACUUGUGUCAUUUCCAAAUAAAAGCUUUAAGAGCCUGUGGACAUUUAUCCUGCGCUGUUUCUUCCUGCCAACAGUGAUGAAAUAUUUUAAUUAUCUAUUGUCCCAUGACAAAGCACCUUAAAUCUUAAUGGUUUAAAACAGUCACCAUUUUAUUAUGUGUAACAGUUUUGUGGGUUGACUAGGCUCAUGGGCAGUUGUCUAAUCUUGCUCAGGGUCUCUCAUGUGGUUCCAGCCUGGUAUUGUUUGGGGCUGGAGUUUUUGGAGGCUCAACUAGGUUGCUAGAGUAGCUGAGCUUUUCUAUUUACCCAUGCCGUUCCAAAGACUCUCUGAUUCACAUGGCUUCUUCAGCAGAGUAGCCUGACUUCUUUCUUGCAUGGUGGCUUAGGAUUCUCAAAUGCAAUAAAAGCAAAAACUUCGAGGUUUUGUAAGUCUUAGGUCUGGAAAUGACAUGUUGUAUUGGUAAAAGCAGUUACAGGGCCAGCUCAAUUUUAAGGGGAGAGGAAAUAAACACUUGAUAGGGGUGGAGGGAGAGUGACAAAGAAUUUGUGGCCAUCUUUAUUACAAAAAUUUUUGUCAACCACAGAGUUACAGGAAAAUGUGGCCAUCUUUAAUCACUACUCCAACGAUGUUUCAAAUUGAGUGGGCUUCCAUCAGCCAGGGUCUCGGAGACAGGACAAAGUGGAAAACAGCUCCCAAAUAACAUACCUAGGGCAUUUUGGGGACAGACUCUACAGUUUACUAGUGGCCCCAGGACAUCCUGCAAAAGAGGUGAAAUCAGUAUUGGAGAAGUGGUCUCAUGAAGAUGGGAGCACGACUACUACAAUUGACUGCUGACUUCUCACCCAAGGAAGUAACUGUAUCCCAGCCUAAUCUCAGUGGAUAAGCCCACAGGGUUAAGGUCCUCACAACAUUGUGCAACAAGUGUGAAAGAUGUAGUCUCCAUUUACGGCUACUGAAAUAGGCUGAGAGAGGAGAUGUUCAAGAAAAAGAACAACUUCAGUGGAAGAAGAAGAAGAUAGGAGCCCAGGUCCUGUGUUUCACCAAGACAGCCGUGCAAAGCAGAUGCUGCCAAAAAGGUGCAAAGUGGUUUGUCAGCUCUUCUGCAUGUUCUAACAAAUUAGACAUGCAUCCCAAAAGGUUUCCUAGACUUUCCAUCACCACCAGUGAAUUCUGAGUGACAAUAGUGUGGAAUUUGGAAGAAUGGAAGAGAAACUGAAGUGGAGAGAUGGUGAAAGAGAAGAAAAAAUGAAGAAAGAUGCUUGCAAAAAUACUGCUGUGGGUCCUGAGAUGAGGAUUCUGGGAGGGCUGAAAUGGAUGCCCCUGACAGCUCCCUUUGAGUUCCUGUUCAUCUGAAGUACACCAGCUUUCUAGAUAUGCUGUCACUUUCCUUCUGCAGAGCCACAGUGGUGUCCUGUCUUCUCAGACCUCUUCUCACCUCAAAUCACUUAGGACUCGGCCACCAGACAGAUUUGGGAUUUCAGAACUUUUCAGAUGUUAGAAAGUUCUUUUCUAAAUGUGAUGAGGAAUUACGGAAUCAUAAAAUGGAAGCAGAGUUAAACUCAGACAUGUGGGCACUCAAGGCAAUUAGGAGCUUUCUGCGAUGAGAAAGGGAUCAGACUGAUCCUUAAGACUUUAUGCAACCCCAGAGUAUUGCAGCCACCUGCAUGCCGAAGGUGUCAAGAGUGUUCUCACUGCUGCCUAUAGGAGGGUCUUCAGCCUCCAGUGAUCCAAAGUACCAGGCUGACCUGUGACUGCUUCGGCCAACUGAAUAGGGAAGAGUGAUGCUGUGCUGUUUCCAGGCCUGUUCUUUAAAAGUACUUGGAAGCUUCUGCCUUGGCCUCUUUGUGCCUGAGUUGCUGUAUAAGAAUCUGACUACCUUGCUGGAGAGACCUUGUGGAGAAGACUUGACCUUAUAUGCAGAGGUAGAGGGGCCCUGGUUAGUCCAGCCAUCUAGCCAUCCUGUCAAAAUAGCAGGAGUAUGAUGGCCAAUGGAUCCAAAACCUAUCCUAUAUCUACAUGUUGGUGGCCACAUUAAUCUGACAUCUGACAGCAAGAGCGAUGAUUGGGUUCACUGGAAAUCUUUGUGAAGUACGAGUGAAGUCCUUGUGAAGUCAGAGUUUCCUCUUCAUGCCUCUACUCCUAUGCAGUUUGACCUCUCAGUGUGCAGCUGGUGAUAGAUGGAAACCCUUGUUCAUAAGCUUUGUGGCACUGUCGGCAGGAUGAGGGGACUUCUGGAUCCUCACUGGUCACUGUGGCAGAGUGGUUGGUGUUGUCUGCUCCCUAGACAGGAACCCACUGAAGAAUCUGACAUUUUUUGAUAUGCUGGCAUUCAUUGUUACAGCCCAUCAUCCCAGCCAUCAAUCCAGGACAUGGGGUCUGUGCCCACGGUGGGAAGGAGGAGGGGGAAGCUGGCUUUGUUCUGACGUUGGGCUUCUUCUGCUCCACCAGUACUUUCUGUGGGGGAAAUAGGUAAAGAAAUGGCUGUUCAGAUGAGAAGAUGUGUCAGUAAACUUUUGCUACAGUGAUGCUGCAAAACAAAUCACUGGUGACUUUCAGUGGCACACAGCAAUAAACAUUUAUUUAGCUCAGGGAUUGACAAUCUUUUUUUUUUUUUAAAGGGCCAAAUAGUAAAUAUUUUAGGUGUUUCAGGCCAUACAGUCUCUGAACUCUGAACUUGUAGCACAACAGUAGCCUUAGAUGCUAUGCAAAUGGAGGAGCAUGACUGUGUUCCAAUAAAACUUUAUUUAUGGACACUAAAAUUGGAAUUUCAUGGAAUUUUUAUAUGUUAAGAAAUAUUAUACUUUGAUUUUUUUCAAC
This 5791-nucleotide long non-coding RNA is filed under the name Homo sapiens (human). Its description in RNAcentral is "non-protein coding lnc-LARP1B-1:24". The record is from RNAcentral. Lineage: Eukaryota; Metazoa; Chordata; Mammalia; Primates; Hominidae.